RNAcentral lists this long non-coding RNA (352 nucleotides) under Mytilus galloprovincialis (Mediterranean mussel). Lineage: Eukaryota; Metazoa; Mollusca; Bivalvia; Mytilida; Mytilidae. The record is from RNAcentral.
UUACCGGCUGAAUCAGCUGUUUUAACCGCUUCUCCCGAUCGUACGAGAACAUUAUGGUUAAUGCCUUAGUAGUUCACCCCCAUUCGUUGUAACAGGGACUUUCUAUACUAAGUAUAUACUUGACUGUAUUUAAAGUCCCUGUUUUUAGUUAUAUACAUGUCUGUUCAGCUUUCAACAAUAUUGAAAUUCAAGGUCCUCGAUAAAAAAAUUAUCCUUCGUUCCAUGAUCUUAGUUGCUUCAUAUGGUUUUUUUUAACUUACCAGUUUGAUUUCUAAUAAAAAUAUCUUUAAAUACAGGUAAUAAUUGUUUGCAUAAAAAUUGCUUUUAGGAUCCAGCAUUACUGAUAUUUCUU